GUCUUGAUCGUGAAGGUUGGUUCUAGGCUGGCCAUGUCUCUACAUUCUUCUAGGAACUUACAACUGAACGGGAAAAUGGCGAUUUCUUCGGCAUAGUGUUGGCGUUUACUCUACGUUAAGGUUUUUUGUGCAGGAGAAAGCUACGAAAAACUCGAUGCCUGCGCUUUUAUUACUAACGGAUUUCUUGUCAUUCAAGAUAAUAGUUCGGUCAUGAUGAGUGUGUUUCUUUCUUUACAAAAAAAACUGUCUAUUCUAUUGCUUAAUUUUGUUUUAUUUAGUGUACUUACUAUUAGUGGCAACUCAUCAUUUAGCUUCAGUCAAAAUCAAUUUGAAGAGUGGUCGAUUCAAUCGAGUGUUCCCACUGCUUGGUUCAACUCGAACAUCAGUGAAAAAUGCAUCCAACACUCACGGGAAUACCUGGCGGCGCUUCAUAACCGACUGCCAUGGGCAGUCAAAAUGUACAAGUCAUCCGCGAGGUUAGUGGAAAACCUAAUUUACAUUGAAGGGGACGAAAACGAGCAUCACGAAUCAGGAUUGUUUGAUGAAUGUCUCACUGUCCAAUCCGAUGGAGUUCCUUUCCAAGGAAAAUAUUGCACCGUCUUCUUUGGAUUACAGGCCGUUGAAGAUAAAAGCAACCAAGAACACAACUUCAAUGCGGAAAAAGAAAAGGAAACAGUUCACAAUAAUCAAAUGCCCAGUGUUAGUUUCUGUCUCCCCUCGACCUGCAGUGCGGAUGAUUUAAAUUCCGCAGUGGCCCAACUUCUUGGAUCUCGGGUCAUCAAAGGCAGAAAUUUCUCCGUGAUCGCCAUAGCCAACGAAAACGACUGUUACACGGAAGAGAAAGUCCAGGCCAACAGCAGAUUUGAUAACAUCACCGUAACCAUUCUGUCGGUAUUUUGUUUGUUGGCUUUAACCAUCACCACUGCAACAUUACAUGAUUCAAUUACGGACAAUGUCGUUUCUCGAAAUUCAUUCGCCGUUCGGUUGCUUCACUGUUUCUCCGCCAAGAAGAAUUGCAAGACUUUGUUGUCGACUGAAGUUGCAAAGGAUAGUUUAUCGUGUGUACAUGGGAUACGAGUUUUGUCAACUUGCUGGAUUGUCCUAUUCCAUAUCGGCGGAUCAUUCGUUAUACUAAGGACGAUAUACAACAAGAAAACGUUUAUCAAGAAUGCGUUACAAUGGGAACUUCAGUUCCUCUCAAAUGGUUUUUUUGCGGUCGACACUUUCUUUUUAAUGAGCGGCCUUUUGGUUGCGUUUACUCAAUUGCGGGAACUGGAUCAAAAUAAAGGAUCUUUCAAUCUCAAGAAAUUUUAUGUUCGUCGGUACAUAAGACUCACUCCUGUAUAUGCGACAAUACUGGCCUUCUUAGCGAAAAUAGGAUCGCAUGUUGCAACCGGUCCCAACUGGAACUUGAUCCAGCGAAUUAGCAAAUGCACCAGAGAAAACUGGUGGAUGCAUUUGUUAUACGUUAACAAUUUCAUGCAUCCAUACAGCAUUAGCAGCCCAGAUUACGCAUUUGGAGAGUCUUGGUAUCUUGCCUGCGACAUGCAAAUGUUCUUGAUCAGUCCUCUCUUCAUUUACCCAAUUUGGCGUUGGAAGGGAGCCGGACUGAUUUGGACCGCAAUCUGCUUGUUCGUUUUUCUGGGAACAUCCGCCUCAGUUUUCAUUGCUUACGACCUAAUACCCACACUUUUAGUAUUUAGACCGUCUUUCAGACAAAAAAUGGACACAUACUAUGACAAACAUUACACUGAUACAACUGCCCGUAUUCCUCCAUAUUUGAUAGGAAUUCUUUUGGGAUGGUUACUCCACACGACCAAGGGACGGAAGAUCUACAUCAAUAAAUAUCUAGUAGCUGCAGGUUGGAUAACAGCUACAUUAUUGGGAUUAAUUGUAACUUACGGAAUGUUUCCUUAUCUGGAUGAGUCCACAGUUCCCGUCAUCAAUCCCUUAAUCGUAGUUUCAUACGGAGUUUUGCAUCACUCCGCUUGGGCAAUUACCAUCGGUUGGAUCAUAUUCGCCUGCACCCACGGAUAUGGAGGCUUUAUCAAUAGAUUUCUGUCAUGGAAACUCUUCCUUCCGUUUAGCCGAAUGAGCUACGCAGUUUAUCUAAUUCACGCCAAUCUCGCCAUCUCAUAUGGAGCUCAAUCGCGUAAACCUUUAUACGUUUCUCAGUUACCUACGUUGACAACUUCUUUCGGACUGUUGGGCUUGGUCUUCCUUUUCGCAUCCGUCGUUACUAUCAUGGUGGAAAUGCCUUUCCUCAACUUGGAAAAACUUUUGUUACCUUAUAAUUCAAAAGCACCAGAAAAAAAGAAAAUGUAGCAGAUUAUUCGACGAGAAAUCUCCCCAAUAUAUUAAGAAAUAAUUAGAAAAUAACUGGUUUUAAAAACCGCGACGAAAGAGACCCUUAUGUAAAGGCCGAAUUUUAUCUGGCAUAGAAACGCGUAUAUAUACUGUGGCAAGCCGGCUAGCAAUCAUUCAUUCCAAACGAAUUCCAAACUGGAUUACCAUACGAAAACACGUUUGCGUGAAUGCGUAAUUAGUCAACGUGAUGGAGGC
Molecule: unclassified non-coding RNA, 2562 nt
Filed under: Daphnia pulex (common water flea)
Lineage: Eukaryota; Metazoa; Arthropoda; Branchiopoda; Diplostraca; Daphniidae
Description: nose resistant to fluoxetine protein 6-like, transcript variant X2
Source: RNAcentral